UUCGGCUGCAACGGGGAGAAAAGAUACAGAACAAGGAGUGAGACUUGCUCACAUAGAGACAGCGGAGAAACCAACACAACCCGACAGAGAGAGGAAAAAAGGUGGAGGUCAGGGAGAAACAAACGGAGUGAGUGAGUGAGGUCAGGGAGAAACAACCGGAGUGAGAGAGUGAGGUCAGGGAGAAACAAACGGAGUGAGAGAGUGAGGUCAGGGAGAAACAAACGGAGUGAGGUCAGGGAGAAACAACCGGAGUGAGAGAGUGAGCUCAGGGAGAAACAAACGGAGUGAGAGAGUGAGGUCAGGGAGAAACAAACGGAGUGAGAGAGUGAGGUCAGGGAGAAACAAACGGAGUGAGAGAGUGAGGUCAGGGAGAAACAAACGGAGUGAGGUCAGGGAGAAACAA
This is a long non-coding RNA of Labrus mixtus (cuckoo wrasse), 403 nucleotides long. RefSeq lists it as uncharacterized. The transcript is spliced from 2 exons. NCBI's taxonomy places the organism in Eukaryota, Metazoa, Chordata, Actinopteri, Labriformes, Labridae. The record is from RefSeq and is a predicted model, not a curated record.